CCGGUGACGUAUCCUUCAAAUGUCUGACUUAUCAGCUGUCGAUGGUAGACUCUGUGUCUACCAUGGCGCUCACGGGUGACGGGGAAUCAGGGUUCGAUUCCGGAGAGGGAGCCUGAGAAACGGCUACCACAUCCAAGGAAGGCAGCAGGCACGCAAAUUACCCACUCCCGGCACGGGGAGGUAGUGACAAAAAAUAACGAUACGGGACUCAUCCGAGGCCCCGUAAUCGGAAUGAGAACACUCUAAAUCCUUUAACGAAAAUCUAUUGGAGGGCAAGUCUGGUGCCAGCAGCCGCGGUAAUUCCAGCUCCAAUAGCGUAUAUUAAAGUUGUUGCGGUUAAAAAGCUCGUAGUUGGUUCUGCGUGCCACGCUGUCGGUUCACCGCCUGCCGGUGCAACUGGCAUGCCGUGGCAUGUCCUGUCGGUGGCGGAUAGGCCCCGUUGCGUGCCCUAUGCGGCAAACCACCGUGUAGGUUGCGGCGCAGCGGGUGUCCUUGUACGCCGGCUCAAUCCUACCGCGGUGCUCUUUACCGAGUGUCGAGGUAGGCCGACACUGUUUACUUUGAACAAAUUAGAGUGCUUAAAGCAGGCUCUUAAAUCAGCCUGAAUAGUGGUGCAUGGAAUAAUGGAACAGGACCUUGGUUCUAUUUUGUUGGUUUUCGGAAUCCAAGGUAAUGAUCAAUAAGGACAGGCGGGGGCAUUCGUACUGCGACGUUAGAGGUGAAAUUCUUGGAUCGUCGCAAGACGCACUAAAGCGAAAGCAUUUGCCAAGUAUGUCUUAUUGAUC
Molecule: ribosomal RNA, 785 nt
Filed under: Panaorus albomaculatus
Lineage: Eukaryota; Metazoa; Arthropoda; Insecta; Hemiptera; Rhyparochromidae
Description: SSU rRNA
Rfam family: Eukaryotic small subunit ribosomal RNA
Source: RNAcentral